GCGCCGGUGGUCUAGCCUGGUAGGAUGCCGGCCUCCCAAGCCGGCGAACCCGGGUUCGAAUCCCGGCCGGCGCA
RNAcentral lists this transfer RNA (74 nucleotides) under Thermoprotei archaeon. RNAcentral's name for it is "tRNA-Gly". It matches the Rfam family "tRNA". Rfam says of the family: Transfer RNA (tRNA) molecules are approximately 80 nucleotides in length. The record is from RNAcentral. Lineage: Archaea; Thermoproteati; Thermoproteota; Thermoprotei.